GACGAACGCUGGCGGCGUGCUUAACACAUGCAAGUCGAACGGAAAGGCCCUGCUUUUGUGGGGUGCUCGAGUGGCGAACGGGUGAGUAACACGUGAGUAACCUGCCCUUGACUUUGGGAUAACUUCAGGAAACUGGGGCUAAUACCGGAUAGGAGCUCCUGCUGCAUGGUGGGGGUUGGAAAGUUUCGGCGGUUGGGGAUGGACUCGCGGCUUAUCAGCUUGUUGGUGGGGUAGUGGCUUACCAAGGCUUUGACGGGUAGCCGGCAUGGGAGGGUGACCGGGCACAAUGGGACUGAGAUACGGCCCAGACUGGUACGGGAGGCAACGGUCGGAAGUAUUACACAGUGAGCCGAAGCCUGAGACGAAGGCGCCGCGGGCGGAAUGACGGCCUUCGGGUUGAGAACAGCUUUCGCCUGAGACGAAGCGGGAGUGACGGUAAUGAGUAAAGAAGCACCGGCUAACUACGUG
Molecule: ribosomal RNA, 468 nt
Filed under: uncultured bacterium
Lineage: Bacteria
Description: partial 16S ribosomal RNA
Rfam family: Bacterial small subunit ribosomal RNA
Source: RNAcentral